Molecule: long non-coding RNA, 365 nt
Filed under: Homo sapiens (human)
Lineage: Eukaryota; Metazoa; Chordata; Mammalia; Primates; Hominidae
Description: HSALNT0228464
Source: RNAcentral
CGCAACUCCGGCAGGUUUAGGGUAAAGGGGCGCUCCGCUCUCUCCGCGCGCCCCCUGCAGCCCUGGACGCAGCACCUCCGUUUGGGACGCCCUACGCCCACCUUAACUUGAGGCUCCCAUCCACGCAGCCUCUGCAAGCCUCACCGCAACCGUGCUAGGCGCGUCGGGUGGGGCGGGAAUAAAGUUUUUCCAACCCAGUUUGGGGAGAGGGCUGGAUGGGAAGGACCCUCCCUGCUGCAGACUUCAUGGCAGGCUGCACUGUGUCCCCUCGGCUCCACGGCUGCCCCGGGGGCGCUGCUUUCGGAGGCUACCAGCAGCCCUGAAAAUAGCAACACCUUGUUAGGAUGUUAGGAAGUCAGCUCCCU